CAGGAUGAACGCUAGCGGCAGGCCUAAUACAUGCAAGUCGAGGGGCAGCACGGGUAGCAAUACUUGGUGGCGACCGGCGCACGGGUGCGUAACGCGUAUGCAAUCUACCUUUAACUCGGGCAUAGCCCGGUGAAAUCCGGAUUAAUACCCCAUAAUAAAUUGAGUGGCAUCACUUGAUUUUGAAAGCUCCGGCGGUUAAAGAUGAGCAUGCGUAUGAUUAGCUAGUUGGUGAGGUAACGGCUCACCAAGGCAACGAUCAUUAGGGGUACUGAGAGGUUACACCCCCACACGGAUACUGAGACACGGAUCCGACUCCUACGGGAGGCAGCAGUAAGGAAUAUUGGUCAAUGGAGGCAACUCUGAACCAGCCAUGCCGCGUGCAGGAAGAAGGCGCUACGCGUUGUAAACUGCUUUUGUACGGGAGAAAACCCUUGUUCGUGAACAAGGUUGAUAGUACCGUAAGAAUAAGCAUCGGCUAACUUCGUGCCAGCAGCCGCGGUAAGACGAAGGAUGCAAGCGUUAUCCGGAUUCAUUGGGUUUAAAGGGUGCGUAGGCGGCCCUGUAAGUCAGUGGUGAAAUCUCUCAGCUUAACUGAGAAACUGCCAUUGAUACUGCAGGGCUUGAGUACAGAUGAUGUUGGCGGAAUAUGACAUGUAGCGGUGAAAUGCAUAGAUAUGUCAUAGAACACCGAUUGCGGAGGCAGCUGACAAAACUGUAACUGACGCUGAGGCACGAAAGUGUGGGGAUCAAACAGGAUUAGAUACCCUGGUAGUCCACACUGUAAACUAUGAUCACUCGCUGUGUGCGAUAUACAGUACGCGGCUAAGCGAAAGCGUUAAGUGAUCCACCUGGGGAGUACGCCGGCAACGGUGAAACUCAAAGGAAUUGACGGGGGCCCGCACAAGCGGAGGAGCAUGUGGUUUAAUUCGAUGGUACGCGAGGAACCUUACCAGGGCUUGAAAGUUAGUGACCGUCCCGGAAACGGGAUUUUCAGCAAUGACACGAAACUAGGUGCUGCAUGGCUGUCGUCAGCCCGUGCCGUGAGGUGUUGGGUUAAGUCCCGCAACGAGCGCAACCCCUACCAUUAGUUGCCAACAGGUUAUGCUGGGGACUCUAAUGGAACUGCCCGCGCAAGCGGAGAGGAAGGUGGGGAUGACGUCAAGUCAUCACGGCCCUUACGUCCUGGGCUACACACGUGCUACAAUGGCUAUUACAAAGGGCAGCUACACAGCAAUGUGAUGCAAAUCUCC
Molecule: ribosomal RNA, 1250 nt
Filed under: metagenome
Description: bacterial SSU rRNA
Rfam family: Bacterial small subunit ribosomal RNA
Source: RNAcentral